RNAcentral lists this long non-coding RNA (288 nucleotides) under Callithrix jacchus (white-tufted-ear marmoset). RNAcentral describes it as "lncRNA (ENSCJAG00000074505.1)". Lineage: Eukaryota; Metazoa; Chordata; Mammalia; Primates; Cebidae. The record is from RNAcentral.
CAGGUAAAUGGGACUUUUUAGGUAAUCUAGUGAUUUUACAUGAUCAAAAAUCCAUAUUUGAUUAAUUUUUUCUUUUUUUUUUUUGAAGGCCAAUUCUCUCUCUGUCGCCAGGCUGGAGUGCAGUGGCAUGAUCUCUGCUCACUGCAACCUCCCACUCCCUGGUUCAAGCAAUUCUCCUGCCUCAGCCUCUCCAGUAGCUGGGACUACAGCUAUACUCUCAGAGGAGUUAAGGCGCUUUCAUUCAUUCAUUCUACUGACUCUGGACCUGGCAUAGCGCUAGGUAAAUAA